Molecule: ribosomal RNA, 110 nt
Filed under: Pteropus alecto (black flying fox)
Lineage: Eukaryota; Metazoa; Chordata; Mammalia; Chiroptera; Pteropodidae
Source: RNAcentral
GUCUACGGCCACGCCACCCUGAACGGGCCCGAUCUCGCCUGAUCUCGCAGGGUCGGGCCUGGUUAGUCCUUGGAUGGGAGACCACCCAGGAAGACCAGGUGCUGUAGGCG